Molecule: long non-coding RNA, 1072 nt
Filed under: Amphibalanus amphitrite
Lineage: Eukaryota; Metazoa; Arthropoda; Thecostraca; Balanomorpha; Balanidae
Description: uncharacterized LOC122379768
Source: RNAcentral
AGAAAAACAAGAUUGAGAUGAGUGGAUCAAGAUGUAUCUUUCGUGCAGAUGUAUCAAGAUCCUUUCACUUAAGAUCCAUGCAGGCGCAAGCUUUGGAUGAACUUCUGCUUCUGCGGUCGGCAUUCUUACAGGAGAACCCAAGAUUCAUUGUACCUACCUGUAUGCAUUUCAAAACUGAAUAAUUGAUAGCAACAAGUAAAUAUUUGAAGUUGCAGCCAAAUGCUGUGCCUUCUCUGCUGCAAGAGCUACAUGUCACCAUUGAAGCAAGGACCAGCUCGACUCCUGCAGUAGGACUCCAGCCUCGUCCAGUCGUCGCCGCUCGCCAAGACCUGCCGGACUCCUGCAAUAGGGGUCCAGGGCCCAGGCUGACCCGUUCGUCCAGUAACCGCCGCUCGUCAGCGGGCUCCUGUAGUAGGGGUCCAGCCUCGUCCAGUCGCCGCCGCUCGCCAAGACCAGCUGGGCUCCUGUAGUAUGGGGCUAGGAUGGCCCGUUCAUCAACCGGUCCUGAAGUCACAUCGCUGUCAGCCAGCCGAACUCAGUACAUAAGUCACCAACCCUGAAUGUUGCCAGCCAAAGUCGGCAGUUUCCUUCGGACAGUCAUCUCAUCAGUGUUGUACAGUGUACGAGGUUAGUGACGCAGUUAAAUGCGUCAAUUAAAUGCGAGGACGUGCGCUUGUAUGCAGCGUUUUGUCAUGUUAAGCUGCAUGGGUGUCGAUUUUCACCGAAUUGAGGGUGCCCACUGCCCGGGCGCAGCAAAUCCGCCGCUGCCUUAGCGGUGACCUUGACCCGCACCGUCUGUUGGGGCUCCAAAGCCAAGCCAGCCGAGCCGGCGGGGAAUCUAAAGAGCUUGAGCACCCCCAACCCGGCGGAAAUUGACACCUAUGUUGAGCUGUAUGGAUGCGUUUUAGCCUUCCGCCGUGGUGGUAAAUAGCAGCCUACAUGCAGAAUUAGGCAGGCUUAUUAGCGGACUCAUUAUUGGAUUCAUUGUGUCACGUUUGUCGGCACGUGUAAGAUGUGCUUAACUGCCAUUAGCUCUCGGCCUGGCGACUUCUGGGGACCACGUAAUGGGGAU